RNAcentral lists this long non-coding RNA (745 nucleotides) under Mus spicilegus (steppe mouse). Its description in RNAcentral is "lncRNA (ENSMSIG00000018387.1)". Lineage: Eukaryota; Metazoa; Chordata; Mammalia; Rodentia; Muridae. The record is from RNAcentral.
GCUGAUUACAUCAACAUCGUGUCACUUAGGGAAGGAUGUGGGGGGAUACAGAGAUAGGCAGACACCUAGUGAGGUGUGGCCUGUUGCUCAGGCUGGCCCCAACUCAGGUGGGGUGUGCAAAGUCGGGUUAUGAUUGCUCAGAUUCGACUCCCCAAGAACAGUCCUCAGGUGGGAUUCUUGCGGGGGCAGGGAUUGAGUCAAAUCUUGGAAAUGACGUCAUUCUGAACUCAUCUGCCUUUAUCCAGAAGACUACCAAAGCAAACCAGAGGACCAGAGAACAGCAGCUGCUCUGGACAAAGAGGGGAGGACACCCACACCCACAUACCAAGUUCUGGUUGACUUCUACAGCAGAAGGAGCAGGAGACACCAGAAGACUCAGAGGGACUGAAAUAUAAGAAGAUCGAUGCCAGAUGUUGUUGUGAUGACAACCUGUUGGGUUGAAGGACCCCAGGAAGACACAGUCCAGAUUCACAGGGAGAGUGCCACUCACCUAUUGUCACAUGCAGCACAGAAUAAUGCAGAGGCAUGGCAUUAUAACAAUUCCUGAAUGGUGCUUCUCAGAAGAUGGUACUUCUUCGGGUCUGGUACCUGGACUAGUGAGGCUUCUCAGGGGAUGGGACCCCAACCCAGAAUGACAACAUCACCUGAUAACUUCAUCUUCAUCAUUAUCAUCAUCAUCAUCGUUGUUGUUAUUCCUUUUGUUUUGUUUUGAGAUUGUAAUAAAAUUAUAUCAUUUCUCCCUUGC